RNAcentral lists this transfer RNA (96 nucleotides) under Mycobacterium senriense. RNAcentral's name for it is "Mycobacterium sp. TY59 tRNA-Trp". The record is from RNAcentral. Lineage: Bacteria; Bacillati; Actinomycetota; Actinomycetes; Mycobacteriales; Mycobacteriaceae.
CGUCGGCGUGGCCGAGGACGUAGGUGCUACCGCUCCAGGCGGAGGAUGGUGUCGUGUUCAUCAUGCUGUCGCCCUUUCCGGUUGGGCCGCCGCGGU